RNAcentral lists this long non-coding RNA (308 nucleotides) under Homo sapiens (human). Its description in RNAcentral is "HSALNT0044083". Lineage: Eukaryota; Metazoa; Chordata; Mammalia; Primates; Hominidae. The record is from RNAcentral.
CAGCUGACACUGCCAUACUCAUUGGAAGCUUUGCAUGUAUACUCGCCGCAGUCAACCACCUGGGUUCUCAGGAUUUCAAGGCUGGAGAUAUACUUUGAAGAUCGAAUAGAACACUUGUCACUCUCAUAAAUUUCUCGGCCAGCUUUAAACCACUGGAACCGGACAUUGGGAGCACUUUGGAUCUCACAGGAUAUAAGCAUUAGAAGACAGGACUCAAGUGUCUGCUGGCUGUAAAAAUACUGGAGAAACUCAUCUAUAGCAUGCAGAAUACAUAUUCAGGCAUUGUGUACAAUGCAGCUGUAUAGUCC